Molecule: ribosomal RNA, 440 nt
Filed under: uncultured bacterium
Lineage: Bacteria
Description: partial 16S ribosomal RNA
Rfam family: Bacterial small subunit ribosomal RNA
Source: RNAcentral
CCUACGGGUGGCAGCAGUGGGGAAUAUUGCUCAAUGGGCGCAACCCUGACGCAGCAACGCCGCGUGAAGGAAGAAGGCUUUCGGGUUGUAAACUUCUUUUCUGAGGGAAGAAAAUGACGGUAGCUCCUCAAGAAUCACCGGCUAACUACGUGCCAGCAGCCGCGGUAAUACGGAGGAGGUAAGCGUGAUUCGGAUUCACUGGGCGUAAAGAGUGCGGAGGCGGGAGUGUAAGUCAGAUGUGAAAUCCUGGAGCUUAACCACGGAACUGCAUUUGAAACUAUGGUUCUAGAGUGCGGGAGAGGUAAGUGGAAUUCUUGGUGUAGGGGUGAAAUGCGUAGAUAUAAAGAGGAACACUAGUGGCGAAGGCGACUUACUGGAAAGUAACUGACGCUGAGGCACGAAAGCGUGGGGAGCAAACAGGAUUAGAUACCCUGGUAGUC